UACUUGGAUUCCGGAUCCAAUGGGCUCUUACACAAUCUCUUCAAGAUUCAAACCUCUUGAAGGCUUUAACACUCGAUUUUUACAAGAAUGAAUCCCUUAACCUAGCUUAAGGAUAGCUCAAAUACAAGACAAAGCUAGGAUGACACAUAAGAGUGCGCUAAAGGAUAUGCAAGUGAUGAUUUAAUGCACUAAGAAAGAAAUGAGAGCUUUUUGGUCAAGAACAAGUAGGUAG
Molecule: long non-coding RNA, 232 nt
Filed under: Vitis vinifera (wine grape)
Lineage: Eukaryota; Viridiplantae; Streptophyta; Magnoliopsida; Vitales; Vitaceae
Description: long non-coding RNA (VVIN_LNC001883)
Source: RNAcentral